This 361-nucleotide long non-coding RNA is filed under the name Pelobates cultripes (western spadefoot toad). The record is from RNAcentral. Lineage: Eukaryota; Metazoa; Chordata; Amphibia; Anura; Pelobatidae.
GUGGCGUUUUGCAGCCAAUCCUAUGGCAAAGCAUUGGAUUGGCUGAGAUCAUCAAGCUUGAUGAUCUCAGCUAUAGAGGCAGGGCCAGUCGAGGAGAGACCAGCACGCUGCGUGGGGGAAAAAAAGGUGAGCAAAAACACUAUUUUUAAACACACAUAUACACGAUGACAGAUACAGAAACACACAUAUACCAUGACAGAUACACACCCCAUGACAGACACACACACACCAUGACAUAGACAGACACACACACCAUGACACAGACAGGCACACACACACACCCCAUGACAGACAGACACACUCCCCAUGACGGACAGACACACACCCCAUGAGACACACACUCCAUGACACAGACACACAC